RNAcentral lists this ribosomal RNA (413 nucleotides) under Uroplatus henkeli. RNAcentral's name for it is "partial 16S ribosomal RNA". It matches the Rfam family "Archaeal large subunit ribosomal RNA", at positions 2003 to 2596 of the family's 2987-position model. The record is from RNAcentral. Lineage: Eukaryota; Metazoa; Chordata; Lepidosauria; Squamata; Gekkonidae.
AACGGCCGCGGUAUCCUAACCGUGCAAAGGUAGCGUAAUCACUUGUUCUUUAAAUAAGGACUAGUAUGAACGGCUACAUGAGGGCCCGACUGUCUCCUGCAGCCAAUCUAUGAAACUGAUCUCCCAGUACAAAAGCUGGGCUAAACACAUAAGACGAGAAGACCCUGUGGAGCUUCAAACAAUUCUUGGCCCAUCCUAUAAAGCCUGACAGGCAUAAACUGAGUGAAACCAAACAGUUUUAAGUUGGGGCGACUGCGGGGGAAAACAAAACCCCCAUGAAAAACACUAUUUUAAGUGCACACACUGAUAAUAAAGAUUUGAUCCAGUAUAGCUGAUUAACGAACCAAGUUACCCCAGGGAUAACAGCGCAAUCUCCUUCAAGAGUCCCUAUCGCCAAGGAGGUUUACGACCUC